Molecule: ribosomal RNA, 443 nt
Filed under: uncultured bacterium
Lineage: Bacteria
Description: bacterial SSU rRNA
Rfam family: Bacterial small subunit ribosomal RNA
Source: RNAcentral
AGCGGCGGACGGGUGAGUAACACCGUGGACGAAUCUGCCCCCCGGACCCGGGAUAGCCCAGGGAAACCCUGGAUUAAUACCGGAUGAGACGGGACCCGCGAUGGCGGGACCCGGGAAAGGCGCUGCGGCGCCGCCGGGGGAUGAGUCUGCGUCCCAUUAGCUAGACGGCGGGGUAACGGCCCACCGUGGCGACGAUGGGGUAGCCGGCCUGAGACGGGUGGACGGCCACAUUGGAACUGAGACACGGUCCAGACUCCUACGGGAGGCAGCAGCUAAGAAUCUUCCGCAAUGGGCGAAAGCCUGACGGAGCGACGCCGCGUGAACGAAGAAGGCCGUGAGGCUGUAAAGUUCUUUUCGGGAGGGGGAACAACCGUGGCAGGGAAUGGCCGCGGGAUGACGUGAAUCCCGGAAUAAGCCCCGGCUAACUACGUGCCAGCCGCAGC